This 1522-nucleotide ribosomal RNA is filed under the name uncultured bacterium. RNAcentral's name for it is "16S ribosomal RNA". It matches the Rfam family "Bacterial small subunit ribosomal RNA". The record is from RNAcentral.
CUGGCUCACGAUGAACGCCGGCGGUGUGCCAAAUACAUGCAAGUCGUACGCACUGGCCCAACUGAUUGAUGGUGCUUGCACCUGAUUGACGAUGGAUCACCAGUGAGUGGCGGACGGGUGAGUAACACGUAGGUAACCUGCCCCGGAGCGGGGGAUAACAUUUGGAAACAGAUGCUAAUACCGCAUAACAACAAAAGCUGCAUGGCUUUUGUUUGAAAGAUGGCUUUGGCUAUCACUCUGGGAUGGACCUGCGGUGCAUUAGCUAGUUGGUAAGGUAACGGCUUACCAAGGCGAUGAUGCAUAGCCGAGUUGAGAGACUGAUCGGCCACAAUGGAACUGAGACACGGUCCAUACUCCUACGGGAGGCAGCAGUAGGGAAUCUUCCACAAUGGGCGCAAGCCUGAUGGAGCAACACCGCGUGAGUGAAGAAGGGUUUCGGCUCGUAAAGCUCUGUUGUUGGAGAAGAACGUGCGUGAGAGUAACUGUUCACGCAGUGACGGUAUCCAACCAGAAAGUCACGGCUAACUACGUGCCAGCAGCCGCGGUAAUACGUAGGUGGCAAGCGUUAUCCGGAUUUAUUGGGCGUAAAGCGAGCGCAGGCGGUUGCUUAGGUCUGAUGUGAAAGCCUUCGGCUUAACCGAAGAAGUGCAUCGGAAACCGGGCGACUUGAGUGCAGAAGAGGACAGUGGAACUCCAUGUGUAGCGGUGGAAUGCGUAGAUAUAUGGAAGAACACCAGUGGCGAAGGCGGCUGUCUGGUCUGCAACUGACGCUGAGGCUCGAAAGCAUGGGUAGCGAACAGGAUUAGAUACCCUGGUAGUCCAUGCCGUAAACGAUGAGUGCUAGGUGUUGGAGGGUUUCCGCCCUUCAGUGCCGGAGCUAACGCAUUAAGCACUCCGCCUGGGGAGUACGACCGCAAGGUUGAAACUCAAAGGAAUUGACGGGGGCCCGCACAAGCGGUGGAGCAUGUGGUUUAAUUCGAAGCUACGCGAAGAACCUUACCAGGUCUUGACAUCUUGCGCUAACCUUAGAGAUAAGGCGUUCCCUUCGGGGACGCAAUGACAGGUGGUGCAUGGUCGUCGUCAGCUCGUGUCGUGAGAUGUUGGGUUAAGUCCCGCAACGAGCGCAACCCUUGUUACUAGUUGCCAGCAUUAAGUUGGGCACUCUAGUGAGACUGCCGGUGACAAACCGGAGGAAGGUGGGGACGACGUCAGAUCAUCAUGCCCCUUAUGACCUGGGCUACACACGUGCUACAAUGGACGGUACAACGAGUCGCAAGCUCGCGAGAGUAAGCUAAUCUCUUAAAGCCGUUCUCAGUUCGGACUGUAGGCUGCAACUCGCCUACACGAAGUCGGAAUCGCUAGUAAUCGCGGAUCAGCAUGCCGCGGUGAAUACGUUCCCGGGCCUUGUACACACCGCCCGUCACACCAUGGGAGUUUGUAACGCCCAAAGUCGGUGGCCUAACCUUUAUGGAGGGAGCCGCCUAAGGCGGGACAGAUGACUGGGGUGAAGUCGUAACAAGGU